AUGCGUCUUGACAGACCGAUGCCGGCUGCUAAGGUUUCCGCUCUAGAUGCAAGGGAAAGAAGGUCCUCGUGCUUUCUGUCUGUCUGGUUGUGGCAGCCAAGAUUAAAUAGGGGAAUGCAGGA
This 122-nucleotide small nucleolar RNA is filed under the name Dasypus novemcinctus (nine-banded armadillo). Its description in RNAcentral is "Small nucleolar RNA SNORA31 (ENSDNOG00000031276.1)". Lineage: Eukaryota; Metazoa; Chordata; Mammalia; Cingulata; Dasypodidae. The record is from RNAcentral.